This 254-nucleotide ribosomal RNA is filed under the name uncultured bacterium. Its description in RNAcentral is "partial 16S ribosomal RNA". It matches the Rfam family "Bacterial small subunit ribosomal RNA", at positions 524 to 775 of the family's 1533-position model. The record is from RNAcentral.
UACGAAGGGGGCUAGCGUUGCUCGGAAUUACUGGGCGUAAAGCGCACGUAGGCGGCUUCUUAAGUCGGUGGUGAAAUCCUGGAGCUCAACUCCAGAACUGCCUUCGAUACUGGGAAGCUCGAGUCCGGGAGAGGUGAGUGGAACUGCGAGUGUAGAGGUGAAAUUCGUAGAAUAUUCGCAAGAACACCAGUGGCGAAGGCGGCUCACUGGCCCGAUACCUGACGCUGAGGCACGAAAGCGUGGGGAGCAAACGG